CGGGGCGGCAGGGUAGCCUAGUGGUUAGAGUGUUGGGGCGGCAGGGUAGCCUAGUGGUUAGAGUGUUGGGGCGGCAGGUAGCCUAGUGGUUAGAGUGUUGGGGCGGCAGGUAGCCUAGUGGUUAGUGUAGGGGCGGCAGGGUAGCCUAGUGGUUAGAGUGUUGGGGCGGCAGGGUAGCCUAGUGGUUAGAGUGUUGGGGCGGCAGGGUAGCCUAGUGGUUAGAGUGUUGGGGCGGCAGGGUAGCCUAGUGGUUAGAGUGUUGGGGCGGCAGGGUAGCCUAGUGGUUAGAGUGUAGGGGCGGCAGGGUAGCCUAGUGGUUAGAGAGUUGGGGCGGCAGGGUAGCCUAGUGGUUAGUGUUGGGGCGGCAGGGUAGCCUAGUGGUUAGAGUGUUGGGGCGGCAGGGUAGCCUAGUGGUUAGAGUGUUGGGGCGGCAGGGUAGCCUAGUGGUUAGAGUGUUGGGGCGGCAGGGUAGCCUAGUGGUUAGAGUGUUGGGGCGGCAGGGUAGCCUAGUGGUUAGAGUGUUGGGGCGGCAGGGUAGCCUAGUGGUUAGAGUGUUGGGGCGGCAGGGUAGCCUAGUGGUUAGAGUGUAGGGGCGGCAG
This is a long non-coding RNA of Oncorhynchus tshawytscha (Chinook salmon), 599 nucleotides long. NCBI's taxonomy places the organism in Eukaryota, Metazoa, Chordata, Actinopteri, Salmoniformes, Salmonidae. The record is from Ensembl.